Molecule: non-coding RNA, 301 nt
Organism: Pan troglodytes (chimpanzee)
Lineage: Eukaryota; Metazoa; Chordata; Mammalia; Primates; Hominidae
Rfam family: Metazoan signal recognition particle RNA
About the family: The signal recognition particle (SRP) is a universally conserved ribonucleoprotein.
Source: Rfam
GCCGGGCGCGGUGGCGCGUGCCUGUAGUCCAGCCUACUCGUGAGGCUGAGGCUGGAGGAUCGCUUGAGUCCAGGAGUUCUGGGCUGUAGUGGCGCUAUGCCGAUCGGGUGUCCGCACUAAGUUCGGCAUCAAUAUGGUGACCUCCCGGGAGCGGGGGACCACCAGGUUGCCUAAGGAGGGGUGAACCGGCCCAGGUCGGAAACGGAGCAGGUCAAAACUCCCGUGCUGAUCAGUAGUGGGAUCGCGCCUGUGAAUAGCCACUGCACUCCAGCCUGGGCAACAUAGCGAGACCCCGUCUCUU